Molecule: ribosomal RNA, 492 nt
Filed under: uncultured bacterium
Lineage: Bacteria
Description: partial 16S ribosomal RNA
Rfam family: Bacterial small subunit ribosomal RNA
Source: RNAcentral
AGUGAACGCUGGUGGUAGGCCUAACACAUGCAAGUCGAACGGCAGCACAGUAAGAGCUUGCUCUUACGGGUGGCGAGUGGCGGACGGGUGAGGAAUACAUCGGAAUCUACUUUUUCGUGGGGGAUAACGUAGGGAAACUUACGCUAAUACCGCAUACGACCUACGGGUGAAAGCAGGGGAUCUUCGGACCUUGCGCGAUUGAAUUAGCCGAUGUCGGAUUAGCUAGUUGGCGGGGUAAAGGCCCACCAAGGCGACGAUCCGUAGCUGGUCUGAGAGGAUGAUCAGCCACACUGGAACUGAGACACGGUCCAGACUCCUACGGGAGGCAGCAGUGGGGAAUAUUGGACAAUGGGCGCAAGCCUGAUCCAGCCAUACCGCGUGGGUGAAGAAGGCCUUCGGGUUGUAAAGCCCUUUUGUUGGGAAAGAAAAGCAGCAGGUUAAUACCCCGCUGUUCUGACGGUACCCAAAGAAUAAGCACCGGCUAACUUCGUG